Molecule: small RNA, 1803 nt
Filed under: Pongo abelii (Sumatran orangutan)
Lineage: Eukaryota; Metazoa; Chordata; Mammalia; Primates; Hominidae
Description: processed transcript
Source: RNAcentral
AGACACGCUGGAGUUUAACAAACAGCAAUACUCUUCGCGCUCCUGAAAAGCAGGGCUGGACGCUCUCCGUGGUGCUGAAACGCCUCGCAGCCGCCGCUGUCCGUGGUAUCUACGGCCCCCUCGCUCCAAUUUCCCCUGGGGCUCUCCCUCCGCGCCCCUGUUCCCCGCCUCCCUUUAACAUCUGGAUUAUUCUUUUCAAUAGCGCUUUCUGGUUUUGUAAGUGCCAAUUUGAAACAUUUUUGUCCCCAUAACUCGUGGACUACAAAGCACAAGGACCUGAAAAAUGCACAGCUUCAAUACUCUUCGACUCUACCUUUGGGAGACCAUUGUAUUCUUCAGCCUUGCUGCUUCUAAGGAGGCUGAAGCUGCUCGCUCCGCACCCAAGCCUAUGUCACCCUCGGAUUUCCUGGAUAAGCUAAUGGGGAGAACCUCUGGAUAUGAUGCCAGGAUCAGGCCCAAUUUUAAAGGUCCCCCAGUGAACGUGAGCUGCAACAUUUUCAUCAACAGCUUUGGUUCCAUUGCUGAGACAACCAUGGACUAUAGGGUCAACAUCUUCCUGCGGCAGCAAUGGAACGACCCCCGCCUGGCCUAUAACGAAUACCCCGAUGACUCUCUGGACCUGGACCCAUCCAUGCUGGACUCCAUCUGGAAACCUGACCUGUUCUUUGCCAACGAGAAGGGGGCCCACUUCCAUGAGAUCACCACAGACAACAAAUUGCUAAGGAUCUCCCGGAAUGGGAACGUCCUCUACAGCAUCAGAAUCACCCUGACACUGGCCUGCCCCAUGGACUUGAAGAAUUUCCCCAUGGAUGUCCAGACAUGUAUCAUGCAACUGGAAAGCUUUGGAUAUACCAUGAAUGACCUCAUCUUUGAGUGGCAGGAACAGGGAGCCGUGCAGGUAGCAGAUGGACUAACUCUGCCCCAGUUUAUCUUGAAGGAAGAGAAGGACUUGAGAUACUGCACCAAGCACUACAACACAGGUAAAUUCACCUGCAUUGAGGCCCGGUUCCACCUGGAGCGGCAGAUGGGUUACUACCUGAUUCAGAUGUAUAUUCCCAGCCUGCUCAUUGUCAUCCUCUCAUGGAUCUCCUUCUGGAUCAACAUGGAUGCUGCACCUGCUCGUGUGGGCCUAGGCAUCACCACUGUGCUCACCAUGACCACCCAGAGCUCUGGCUCUCGAGCAUCUCUGCCCAAGGGUCUGAUUUGAAAUUCCCACUGGGCAGGCAUGACCUCAGCAUUAGUCCCCACCAUCUUGGCUCCAGCAUACAAGCAGGCCUGGUAAUGGGCCUCCACAGUGUCCCUGCCAUAGGCUUUGCCUGCUCCCACACUGCAGUAAUAUGGACCCUGGGGUCCUGGGAAGCCAUUGGAAGGCCAACGAAAGGGGUGCCCAUCUGUCCCCAUGAGGGUAUAUUCCUGCUCCAUGCCAAACCAGAGGUGCUGGUUGUUCACCAUGUCCAUUAUCCACUUACAGGUGUGCCUCAAAUUGGUCACUGCAGGCUUUCAGUUGUACUCUAAAACUUCACAGAACACCAGCUUGUAGGGUCCUUACUGAAGGUAUCCCAAAACAUGGCAGCAGGCAUGAAAUGCAUGUCACUGUUGGAGCCUUCAGACUGUAAAAUACUAGAGCCAUCAAAAUUCCAGGCUAGGCACGGUGGCUCAUGCCUGUAAUCCCAGGACUCUGGGAGGCCAAGGCGGUUGGAUCACCUGAGGUCAGGAGUUGGAGACCAGCCUGGCCAACAUAGUGAAACCCCGUCUCUACUAAAAAUACAAAAAAUUAGCUGGGCGUAGUCAUGCACACCUGUA